Molecule: long non-coding RNA, 1538 nt
Filed under: Mus musculus (house mouse)
Lineage: Eukaryota; Metazoa; Chordata; Mammalia; Rodentia; Muridae
Description: long non-coding RNA chr7:98816051-98817589
Source: RNAcentral
CAGGUCCCGCCCCAUCCUAGUCUACCCUGUUGGGUCCUCUACUCCGUCACUUUCGCGCCCCCCCCCCCCCCCACCCCAUCUUGUCCUGUUCCUUUUCUGCCCCGCUGAGCCCCGCCACACCUUGCCCCGUCCACCCAGUUCCUGUACGAUCCUGUUAGUCCCUGUUUGUUCCUGCCCACUUCUGCCCGGUUCUGCCCGGUUCUGCCUUCUUCCUGUACCGCCCCACUCGGUCUUCUUCCUGUACCGCCCCUGCACACCCUUCUCACGCCUUGCCACGCCCUGCCCUAUCCUACCGGGUCCUGCUCUGGCCUUUCCCAUCACACCCUGCCCUGUCCUGUCCCAUCCUGCUUUGUUCUGUCCCUCCCUGUCCAGUCCGUCUUAGUCCAGCCCCAUUCUGCUUUUGUGCUUCUUUGCGCCGGGCUUCGCGUUACCGGAGCCAAGGCUGUUGUAGGUUCUGCACAACCUGGCUCCUGGACGUCAGCGUUGGGAGGCGGACUGAUGUCGCUAGAGCCCAGCCUGAGCCAGGCCAGAGAUGCAGACUCCUGGUGUAGCUGGCAGCAGUAUGGUCCAGACUCACCGAGAAAGGCGGCUUCGAUGAGCCCCUCCACCGCGCAGACCCCCAGAAAGUGGAGCUAGUGUGGGGGCUGCUCCAGUGAAAUGACCGAUGGCUGAAGCUGCAUCUCUCCAGCCUGGGGGGCUGGCCCCCAUUGUCAGUCAGGUCACUAGAAAAACAGGCAACUCCAGUCGAUUUCAGUUACUGUGGUUCCUUUUGUGAGCUUGAACACGCACAAGUGUUCAUGCACACAUCCUGAUAUCAAAGAAGGGGAAACCCAGGCAGCAAAACCUGGCCCGGAGGAGAAGGGAGAAGAUUUUUCCUCAGUGACUCCUAAACUCCUUGUAGCUGUGUGGGGUGUCUUUGGAGACUGGCUACAGCCUCCCACUUCGGGUCUGAGGAUGUAAGACAGAAAUACCUCCAGUCGACUGAAAGCAUUUGUAAGCAUGUUUGUGUGCAUCUUUUAGUCCGCUGUGUGUUGUCACUGGCGCCUGCUUGGUCCAGCGCUGGGCUGGGCCCUGGGGACGUAGAUGAGUCAGGUCUGCAUGCUGAACCCCGUGCCCAGUGGUGGCCACUCUGGCUGUACCUGUUGCCUUGCCCAGAGUUGUGGGCUGUUCUUUGAGAGAACUCAGUCGGGGCCCCGGUGAGCUGUGGUUCCUGCUUUGUGGCCUGGACACAGACACAGAACCUUUCAUCCUCUGCUCAGUACCUCUUGUCCCCAGACAAGCCUUCCUUAUGGGCAGUGUAUGCACGCCACUGGCUUCCUGUAGGGGCCUACCUCUCCCUGGGACUAGCCACCCAGCUGCUGCUUGCCACAGCGGGCCACCUGAGACUCACCCACCUCCCCCAAUAUUCUCCCACCCCUCCACUGUUCAACAGGCAGCCACACUCCACCUCCACCACUCAGAUUGUAGCUCCAGACCUGGCCUUGUCCUCCAGGCUGCUCUAGUUUCUUAGAAAUUCCUAGUCUUGCCCUUCCUGCUCU